This 349-nucleotide long non-coding RNA is filed under the name Homo sapiens (human). RNAcentral's name for it is "HSALNT0061606". The record is from RNAcentral. Lineage: Eukaryota; Metazoa; Chordata; Mammalia; Primates; Hominidae.
UAGAACAGAGAAAGAACAUUAAGUAAAAACCAAGGAAACCAGAGUAAGAUAUUAACAUCUGGAAGCUGAAGCUCGUAGAAGGGAAAUAAUGAAAAUAUUUAACACUGAGUUGAGUGUUUAUACUAUGCCAAGCACUGAUCUUGGUUGUUAGUUAUGUGAACUCAUUCAGUACUCACAGCAACACUAGAAGGAAGGUAAAGAUAUUACCCAGUGAGGACAUGGAGCAAUGAGAGGUCUCAUAGCCUAGUCAAGAUCUCACAAGAACAGGAGAAGCAGUAGAAAAGUGGGGAUGCAAACCCAGCAAGACCAGAGACAGAGCACAUGGGCUUGUCCUCUGUGAUCAUCUGCC